RNAcentral lists this long non-coding RNA (1207 nucleotides) under Vigna radiata. RNAcentral's name for it is "long non-coding RNA (VRAD_LNC009802)". The record is from RNAcentral. Lineage: Eukaryota; Viridiplantae; Streptophyta; Magnoliopsida; Fabales; Fabaceae.
AAUUAACACUAUUUUUACAAAAACCUAUUUUUUUCCUAAUUACCCUAAACUACCUUGAUUCUAGAAAAUUAAAAGCUAAACUAUCCUAAAAGAAGAAUAUUGACACACAAAAAUGGGAAAAAUAGAGUUAACACACCCCACACUUAAGGAACUACCAUCCUGGGCAGGGAAAACUAAAAUCAAAACAAAGAUCAAAGACUCAAUUUACAAAAUGAAAGACCCCCAACAAAACUCAGAAAUAGUGGUUUAUUCACAACUCAAUCCAUCCUGCCAAUUUCGUCAUUUCACAACCAUUUCUUCAAACAAAAUUGCACAAUCAUAUUUCUCAACAUUAAAUCUCAGUAUCAGCAAUCCAAGCAUUUAAACAACAACUAGAUUCAACCAAUUUCAGCAAGGAACAUAAGCUGAAAAGCAGGAAUCAAUUUCAACCUCACAUGAACAAGUGUUUGCACUCAUUUUCACUCAAGUAUUUAGGGUGUCCUGUUUCACUCACUCAUGACAUGUCAACCUCUAUUCUUAACUUUGAAAAGACUCUAAGUGAAAGUGCUCAGCUCAUGGUUUCAUCUAGAUCAAUAGGUCUUUAGUGGCUUGUGAUGUACAUGGUAUGAAAAGGUUAGAAAACACAAGGGUAAUGGAUGUAGAAACUAUGAAUAACAAGGGAGAACCUAGAACUCAGUGCACUCUAUGUUUAACUUUGGCCAGUCAAAACUUUUCUUUCUUUCUCUCUUGUUUUCAAUUCUGCCAGGUCUUAUUUUCAAUUCUUUUGCAUUUUUCUCUUUUUCAGACCUGCUCUUUUCUUUUUUUUAUUAUCACAACCAAAAUUACGCACUCAUUUUUUUUUACUCUUUCACCCCCUAGCCUUAUUUUUCAAUUGCACUCACCAAGUUUCAGCUCCCCCUAAUUCUCACAAGUCUCUACAGGUUGGGUAUGUAAUGGAAAGGGGCUUGUAAUGAAUGGAAAUAAAGAAAAAUAGGCUAAGGCUCAAAAAGAAAGGUACAAUAGAUAAAACUGAAAUGGUUAAGCUAAGUGGCUUUGGAUGAAGAAAAAGAAUGCCUAAAUCAUGUCUAAAUUCUACCAACAGCAAGCUUAUCACAGAAAGUCAAUGCAAAAUCAGUAUUAAAAGCCAAACAUGCAUGAAAUCACGUAAGAAAGACAAAAAUUGGGCCCAACAUCUCUCUAGGUUAAGAAAUGCUAAAACUGACUUGCU